AGGGAUGUAGCUCAGUGGUAGAGCAUCUGUGUUGCAUGCAGAAUGUCCCAGCUUCAAUCCCUGGCAUUUCCA
This is a non-coding RNA of Podarcis lilfordi (Lilford's wall lizard), 72 nucleotides long. The record is from the annotation of a GenBank genome assembly. NCBI's taxonomy places the organism in Eukaryota, Metazoa, Chordata, Lepidosauria, Squamata, Lacertidae.